This is a long non-coding RNA of Triticum aestivum (bread wheat), 1439 nucleotides long. RefSeq lists it as uncharacterized. Lineage: Eukaryota; Viridiplantae; Streptophyta; Magnoliopsida; Poales; Poaceae. The transcript is spliced from 5 exons. The record is from RefSeq and is a predicted model, not a curated record.
UAUCCCGUUCCCCACCACUUCUUCUCUCACCCUGACCCAACCGCUGCUAACCCUAACAGCAACGCCGCCGCCGCCGCAUCCUGCAUCCACAAUGCCAAGCCCAGCGCCGCUGCCCCAUUCCCCAAUCACACCGCUGCCCUCACCGCCCCGCCGUCGCCACCCUACUUCCACAUCACGGCGCACGGCCCAUCCCCCAUCUUCGCCCCCACCCGCAUCCGCCACCCGCGCCGCCGUACGCCCCAUCCCCGAUCUUCGCCGCCGCGCCCGCGACCCCCAUCCCACGCUGCCACCCAUCCCCACCGACGCCGCCACACUAGUAUCCCCCACCAACGCCGCCGCCCCAUCCCUAUUCAGGCGGCCGCAGCAACAACCCCGCGGACACACCUACCACCUACGGGCCCCCUGUUUCGCCCCUCACACAGCAGCACCGCAUCUCCUCAGUGCCUGCUCCAUACUGCGUAUCACAUCCUCUCCAUUUGCACUCCCCACAAAUCAGUGGGAGGACGUGCCCAUCUGAAGCAGCAGUAGUAGCAGAACAAGUAGCUACUGCACCGCUUACCUCUGUUUGUGCUCCCCCAGUUUCUGAAGAGGUCUAGGUUCGCAAGUGGAGGAGGGAUCCAACUUGCAGCCAUAAAUAAUCGAACAAGUACCACUUCAUGGUUAUGAAUGGCAAACAGAGGAGGAUGAGCUGAUGCUGUUAUGCAUGAAGAUUUGCAAAUAGGGAAUGUAAGACAUGUCACAGAAAGGUUGCAUGAAUUCAUUCCAAGUCUUGCGUGGACAAAACAACAAGACAAAGGUGACGGCGGCCUUUGUGUGUUGAUACAUCUUUGCAGAUGUAUGAAGCUAUUUAACAACAAGUUGUGCUUAUCUGUAGGAAAGGCAACACAUCUAAUCAGUCAGCUGUCAAAAUGCCUAGAUGCCGACUAAGAUCUGAGAUCAUAUCACUUACAAAGCAUGACUGGAGGACAUGGCUGCUGAAAACCUGAAUGAUCAUGUGAUAGAAGUUGAUAGUAAAGUAUGCAGAAGCAACCAUCACAACCGGAAGCAGUCCCCGCAUCUACGAGGUCACAGUAUAAUUUCCUUUGCAUCCACAAGUUUCUAGAGGUGUGGUUGUUGAGCUAAAAGGAUCUUCUGCUAGGAUAUUUUUCACUUUUGUCUACGAUGUACUGUAAUACUUAUGAAUCUACAAAUCUAUGUAUGUGUGCAUCUAGACUUGAUAAAUGGUUGUGCUUUUGGCUGUCCUGUUACUGGACUUGUAUGCCCAUGUGUGCAUCUAGGCACGCAUGAUGAAUCUUCUUUGUGCUUUUGGCUAUCCUGCAAUACUGGACUUAUGAACCUACGUAUGCAUGAUGUAGACUUGUGAACUUAUGUAUGGAUGAUGGAUUGCUUAUAUCUAUGCCCAUGUUGUUAUAUAUAUAUUACUGUAUGCAUGUGUGUUA